Trichonephila inaurata madagascariensis is the source of this 73-nucleotide non-coding RNA. The record is from the annotation of a GenBank genome assembly. NCBI's taxonomy places the organism in Eukaryota, Metazoa, Arthropoda, Arachnida, Araneae, Nephilidae.
AUCCCUGUAGCAAAAUGGGUAGCGAGGUGAACUUUUAAUACAAAGGUCGUGGGUUCGAAUCCCACCUGGGAUG